Molecule: ribosomal RNA, 253 nt
Filed under: uncultured bacterium
Lineage: Bacteria
Description: partial 16S ribosomal RNA
Rfam family: Bacterial small subunit ribosomal RNA
Source: RNAcentral
UACGUAGGGGGCAAGCGUUGUCCGGAUUUAUUGGGCGUAAAGAGCGUGUCGGCGGCCUGGUAGGUCAGCUGUGAAAACUCGAGGCUCAACCUCGAGACGCCGGUUGAAACCAUCAGGCUAGAGUCCGGAAGAGGAGAGUGGAAUUCCCGGUGUAGCGGUGAAAUGCGCAGAUAUCGGGAAGAACACCCGUGGCUAAGGCGGCUCUCUAGUACGGUACUGACGCUGAGACGCGAAAGCGUGGGGAGCGAACAGG